UGGAUCACCUCCUAACAGGGAGACAACAAAAUGUUUAAUAUUAUUAUUUUGUCACCUUAGGUCGAUCGGUAUCUCACGUUUUUAAUUUAUUAAGAAUUUCAUUUCCUAAGUUUUUCUAGGUCACACCCAUUAUUUUUCCUGGGCCAUUAGCUCAGGUGGUUAGAGCGCACCCCUGAUAAGGGUGAGGUCCCUGGUUCAAGUCCAGGAUGGCCCAUAUCUCUAUGUUGGGGGUAUAGCUCAGUUGGUAGAGCGCCUGCUUUGCAAGCAGGAUGUCAGCGGUUCGAGUCCGCUUACCUCCACUGAUUACCACCUCUUCCAUAACCGGUAGAAAGGAAAUGUUUUGAGUCGUGAUCAAAUUCUGAAAGAAUCUAGCUUCCUAAUGAAAUCAUUAAGAAGCUGGACUCAUUGAAUUAAUUUCACUGUUUUCAGAGAACCUUGACAACUGCAUAGAUUAUUUUUAAAGACAAUAAGCAUCUUUAAUGAUGCAGAUUUAUUAUUUGUGCGAAUGCAUUAAUAACAAUUCUAUUAAGCUGAUGCUUCAAUUUUUGAAGUUAUUGGUCAAGCUACAAAGGGCUCACGGAGGAUACCUAGGCACACAGAGGCGAUGAAGG
This 611-nucleotide transfer RNA is filed under the name uncultured Prochlorococcus sp. RNAcentral's name for it is "partial contains 16S ribosomal RNA, 16S-23S ribosomal RNA intergenic spacer, and 23S ribosomal RNA". The stretch from base 227 to 299 matches the Rfam family "tRNA". The record is from RNAcentral. Lineage: Bacteria; Bacillati; Cyanobacteriota; Cyanophyceae; Synechococcales; Prochlorococcaceae.